Molecule: unclassified non-coding RNA, 2367 nt
Organism: Pogonomyrmex barbatus (red harvester ant)
Lineage: Eukaryota; Metazoa; Arthropoda; Insecta; Hymenoptera; Formicidae
Source: RefSeq, a predicted model, not a curated record
CACAGAGGGCAGCUUAGGUAUGUGGAUAAAGCUGCGACGCCAUUUCGACGUUUCUACGUGUUUCGUAGUGUGACCUGACGGGCGUCCCUCAUAAGUUCGCGCUUUUUCGACAGAUUUUCCUGAUAGACUCAGAAAUGUCGCGCUAUCGUGAAUGGGAUCUAUCUUGCAAGGUUUACGUGGGCAACCUGGGAAGUAGCGCUAGCAAACAUGAGAUUGAAAGUGCAUUUAGUAAAUAUGGUCCAUUGAGAAAUGUAUGGGUGGCUAGAAAUCCACCUGGCUUUGCAUUUGUGGAAUUUGAAGAUCCGCGAGAUGCAGAAGAUGCAGUGAGAGGAUUGGACGGAACACGAUGUUGCGGUACUAGAGUGAGAGUAGAGAUGUCCUCUGGGAGAAGUCGUCGUGGAGGUGGCGGUCGUAGGCCUGGUCCUCGAUAUUCCAGAUCCUGGUCGAGAAGUCCACGGAGAUCAUCGAUUAAUCAUUACUCCAGAUUCUACCAGCGUCAGCUCCUAGCUCUGCUCGUCUCCCCGCACUACUACUACUUCUACUACUACUGCUACUACUUCUACAGCCACCGUGAAAAAGCGUAUGCGUACGCAAAAAAAGCGAAUCGCCAAUCUCGCAAUCGUCAAUUGAACAAAACUGAACAAAAAAAAUAUAGCCUGCCUGCCCACUAACCUCCCAACACCAAGUCACCAUCAGUCACCACCAAGUCACCGAAUAUAUAGGAAGCCGUCCGUACGUCUGUCACGUCACGUCACGUCACGUCGCCCGUCGAUGUUGUGCGUUGUGGUGCGACGCGCACACAGCACACAACGGCGCAACAACCAAAAACAACAGUUUUCGUGCGUCGUCACCGCUGCCGGAGUACCGCCAGUGCCCGAGACUGCUACCUUCGGAAAAAAAAGAAAAAAAUACCAAAAAUUGCUUUUUUUCGUUGCUGCCCCCCCCUUCGAGUUCGCCGUCGUUGCACCGCAAAAUAUCGUCUUGAACCGUCACAAAAAAAUCCAUUUGCCGCUCCGUUGCGGAAUUCUCCCCUUUGAUCACCACUACUAUUAUUACUACUACUACUCUUCCACCAACCACCACCACCACUACCACCAAUCGACCGAUCACCAAGUGUUGUUGUGAUCCACUUUCUUCGACUCUUCGUCUCAGCUUUAGCUCGGGGGACACAUCGAAUCAAUCGCCAAAAACAAAAUUCGCCACCGUGAGGAAAAAUGUCACCCACAACCGGCCACCGCCGCCAUCACCAGUUCGUAACGAACUAAAAUCGCGAUGCAAACAAAAAAAAAAGAAUUAAACCGUCUGUACAGUAAUUCUGUCCACCGGCGCGUCUCUCCAUUCGACUACGAUCGACUGUCUUCCCGACUAUUCGUCGUUUCGAGACCGACGUUUCUAUUCUGCCACUGCCACUACUAGUAUUACCGCUACUGCUACUUCUACCACUACUGCUACUGCCACUACUCGUCGACCAUCACUUAGGGACGUGUGUUAGCCGCAACAACAACUGAACGCGCGAGAGUUGCCGCCGAGAGAUCUUCUCGACCUUCGACUCCUCGAGCGAACGCAAAAAAGCGAAAUGAUCACCACCUACUACACACCAUCCCACCACCACCCACCAACCAACUACCACCACCAACCACCACUACAUGUUCACAGUUAUCUGGUCGAGAUCUCGCAGCCCUCGCAGGAGGUCUUUGUCACGAAGUCGCAGCCGAGAUCGCCGUUCACGUUCGGAUUCCCGUGACAGACGUUAGAUGCUAAAAGUUCAAGAGAAAGAGAGGUAGAUAGAAAGAACGGACCGACUUUAUGUGCCGAGCGGAAGACAGAAAAAUGAGAGAGAUAAAGCGAGAAACAAUUUUGUAUGUACAUAAUAAAAAUUGAUUGCUACUCAUACAUACAUAUAUACAUACAUACAUACAUACAUACUAUCGUGCUAUCGUUUGAGGUUAUAAACGACCAUGAUAAAAAUGCGACAGAAAGCAAAAUAAAAGACGUUUCGACAGGUUUUGUGGAUGACUGUGAAUUUAGUCAAUAAGUUUCUCAACAUAUAUGUAUAUCUAUUCCACAAAUAUAACUUAUUCUGAUGCACGUAUAGCUAACACGAUCAUCAAGUUGUGUGCAUUAUAUUAAUUAAUAAUCCAAAUAUAUUAUCCAAAUAUGUGACGUCAGAAUAUCAUUUAUUAAAAUAAAUGCGAUAAAAAAUAAUCACUUAUUAUUUUUUUUAAGUUGUGAUUAUUGUCAAGAAUAUUAACUAUUUUGUCAGAAAGAUAAAAAUCGAAAAUUUUGUUUGGACAUAUUGAUUAUUUUAUAUUUGUACUUUAACUUUAAGACAUAACAAAAUAAACUUGUGAAUGAUAAUGUGAAUGU